This 1258-nucleotide long non-coding RNA is filed under the name Bos mutus (wild yak). RNAcentral describes it as "lncRNA (ENSBMUG00000020842.1)". Lineage: Eukaryota; Metazoa; Chordata; Mammalia; Artiodactyla; Bovidae. The record is from RNAcentral.
AUGAGCCCAAUCACUAAACACUGUUUAGCAAACUCCAAAUUCUGCAACCAGGCAGUAGAAGGCAUUUCAUACAGUUCAGCAGAGCUGCUGCACAAUGACUGGGUCCUUCUGCUUCUGAGAAUCAAACGGUCCUUUUUGCUAAGGAAGAAAAUAAGCUGGAACGAACACUGUCAUAUCUUCUUCUUGAAAGCUUUCAAUACAACUUGCGGUAGAGAAGACUUCCACUCCCUGGAGCCAGGAUCAUCCCUGUUGAGAUGAAACAGUUUCAACUCUCCAGGCUCUGGGAACCGUGGGGACCAACGGCAGACAGUUUGGACCAGCAAGUGGAAAAGAAUAAGAGAAGAGGAAUUAACUGGACUGUGUUGGAAAGUUAAGGGUAGAAACCAGGAUAACAAUUUUGGUCAGAGAUUUGUCAUCAUUUGGAAAUGUUUUAUCAGGCGAAAUCAGUGGAAAAGCUUAUGUAUCCAUCUGAACAAACUACUUCACCUAAUGAAGUCCCGUCUUUCUGUGGUACAGAUGAGGAAACCAAGGUUAUGAGAGAGAUGGUCAUUGGCCCAAGAUCACACACUUAAUAAGUGAGUUUACUCAUUUCCUAUAUUAAAAUUUUUCUACAAGCCUGCAUUUGUGGAUAAAUCUGUUAUCUGGUUGUUAGAUGGUCCUAAUCUAAAUUAUCAAAGAAAAAUCAGUAUAACAAUCAAGAUGGACCUGGUUUCUACUCACAAAUAGUAUUUCUGUCCUAAACAGAUAACGUAAGUCUGUAUGAUGAGUUCCUUCCCCAAAAAUAUUUUAUUUUUUAAAAGAUUUUUUUUUUUGAUGCAGACCAUUGUUAAAGUCUUUAUUGAAUUUUUUACAAUAUUGCUCCCAUUUUAUGUUUUGGUUUUUUGGCUGUGUGGCAUAUGGGAUCUUAACCCCUGGCCAGGGAUUGAACCUACACCCUCUGCAUCAGAAGGUGAAGUCCCAACCACUGGACCACCAGGGAGGUCUCCCUAACACAUUUUUAAAACGAACUUUUGAAUAGGAAAUUUUGCUCAACCAAGUUUAGUGUUUCAAGUGCAUCAUUUUAACAAUUACCUCUUUAUGUGGACAUCUGCUUUUACCCCCAUUUAACAUCCCCUCCAGCUCUGAAGGUUUGGGAUUCUAAAAAAUCCAGCCUAGCUUGCUUCCUAGGUUGGUUAGGCCAAGAGCUGCACUCUGAGCCUCCUGCUUUCAGGUUAUAUGGCCAGUUGACUGUCUCGCUCAUUGGCAGUAAUUCUAGAUG